ACUCCAAGGCUGCAGUUAACUUAAUAACAAAUGUAAGCACAGUUAGAUAAAUUAAUUUCAAGGUCAAGCAAGCUGACAAUGGAAAAUGGAUGCAAGUGGCAGGUAUUUACAUGCAACAGGCUUAAAGAAGGCAGAGCUGCAGUGUCUGCUGGUCCUUGGCUGCUGAACCAUACCAGCUGCAAGCACAGACAGAGCCUAAAGAUAAAUUACAACUCAGAUCCUGAGCAUCUUCCCCCCGAACCAAACCACCCCAGGGCUUUGGGAAAUUGCAAUCCACAUCCUGAGAUGAGCUUCACAGCUGGCCCCUACCUCUGUGAAGUUCCCGAACUUCAAUUCUGGCUCAGAGUCCUGAAUUUGGAGACUUAAUUAUAGCACUGUCAUUCAGAGCAAAAUCUUCACAGGCCGGGGUAUUGCCAUUACUUGCCAGAUGCAUCCACACCCUGGUACUGAUUACAUGCAUUACUGACCUCAGCUGAACCAUGAGAACAAUAAGGCUAGCCCUGGUCAGGAAUCUUUCUGACAAAACCUGGCUUCACUCGAAGGCACAGAUCUGAAUCAAACGCACCUCAGAGACACUUGCAGCAUGCACUGAGCCCAGACAAGUCACAGGCAGGCCUGGUGUGCCAGCUGCCUGCCCACUCUCGGUGGCUGACUAAGGACUGUCAGGCAGCAGAAGAAGCCAUGCUGCUGGCUGCCUCAAGGCCAGGACCAGUGUGGAAACUAAUUUCUGCUUGAAUUGAACUUCAGCACGUGCCAAAGGGCUUUGCAAAGUAGGGCCGGAGCUGUAUGGAACUGGACACCAAGUACUUUUUCUUAUGCUUGUUGAUACAGAACACUUGAAAAUCUCCCCUGGAAAAUCGAUCACUUGGCCAUAAAUAAAGAGGCAGAUCUGAUGCUUCUGAUCAUCACCACUGGAUUCCUCUAAUGUGAACAGGAUUUCAUUAAAUACAUUUUCUGUACAGGAGCACCUGUAACUAUUCACAGCAUCUUUUCAUCCACAGCCUUCAAACAGGACUCUCAGCCUUUUCCUCCUGCGUGCAGGCAAUGCAGGGUAUGUUUCAAUCUCAUUAUGUUACGUUACGUAGUGAAAUUCUGAUUUUGCUCAACAAGCUCUUUGCAGAGUGGAUGUGGCAACAUGCUGGACAUCAGUCCUGUCAGAAGAUAUAUACACAGACCUGAAACUUUCCAGGCUUUUGGCCCCUGCUUCCUUGAGUCACCAAUCUCAUCAACAACACUAAGGGAAGUUAGCCACAAAGGAGCAAACGGCACGAAGAAACAAAAAGCAGAAACCGAGGUUCAGCACCACUGCACCCUGCCAUGCAGCACUAUCCCACCAGUAAUACUUUCAUUUGAUUAGACUGAUUGGCUUCUAUUCCAUAUUACUUAAGCCUCAAACCAUUAUGACCUAUUGAAAAUAAUUGGUAGUGACAGUUUCAAAUUUAAUAUUUAAUACAGUGGUUAAAUGGAA
Tympanuchus pallidicinctus (lesser prairie-chicken) is the source of this 1468-nucleotide long non-coding RNA. RefSeq lists it as uncharacterized. The record is from RefSeq and is a predicted model, not a curated record. The transcript is spliced from 3 exons. NCBI's taxonomy places the organism in Eukaryota, Metazoa, Chordata, Aves, Galliformes, Phasianidae.